This 540-nucleotide long non-coding RNA is filed under the name Vigna radiata. RNAcentral's name for it is "long non-coding RNA (VRAD_LNC001088)". Lineage: Eukaryota; Viridiplantae; Streptophyta; Magnoliopsida; Fabales; Fabaceae. The record is from RNAcentral.
GAAUAUCAGGCAAGAGUUUCUCAGAUUCAACAUGCACAAGAUUAUCAAAAUUAAUUUGCAUCUCACUCAAACAAACAGGAAGUUCAAGUUCAGAGAAAACUUGUUCUUGCUUCUCAAAAUUAACCUCAUUAUCCUCCACCAAAACAACAACUACAUUACUAAAUCUAUCAUAGAAAUUGAUGUUAGUGCAAGGAUUGUGAACAGCCACAGGUAUGUCAAUAUGUUUUAUUUCAAGUGCUGAAUCACAAGUGUGAGAAUGCAUAGGCAUAACAGGGACACUAUUCAACGCAGGUUCUAUGAGUUCAACUUUAAACAUAUCAAAAACAUUAAAAUGAGAUUGAACCUCCUCUAUGUCAAUUGGAAUAUUCAGUUCAGAGAAAACCUGUUGUCUUGAUUCACCAGCUGCCUCAUCAGGGACAUUUUCAGUCAGCUUGCGCUCCACUUCAUUAACCAGAACUACACUCUUUCUUUUAGGGUCUACCACCUCUUUUAAUUAUGUUACAAGAUCAUGAACCACAGGGUUAGUAUGUGCACAAAAAU